Molecule: unclassified non-coding RNA, 2345 nt
Filed under: Hevea brasiliensis (rubber tree)
Lineage: Eukaryota; Viridiplantae; Streptophyta; Magnoliopsida; Malpighiales; Euphorbiaceae
Source: RNAcentral
AAAAAACUCAAAACACAUACUAAAAAGAUAAAAUUAAAGACGGGUAUCUAAAAUUAAUCAAGACGAAAACUAAAAUCCUAACAAAAAAAAUAAAAAUAAAAAUACCUAAUCAAACCCUAGGCUUAAUUACCUGUAAUUUUAAUUUAUAACUCCCAUUUUUCAUAUGUUUAUGUUGUUAUAUAUAUGUGUGUGCGUCUAUGUGUAAAGGAACAUAGAAUGGAAAAAGACUCAGCAGCAGCUACAACGACGACGAAGAAGACGAUAUGGAGUACAUGGGAAGAGCUUUUGUUAGCGUCUGCUGUGAAAAGGCAUGGGCUAAAGGACUGGGAAUCUGUAGCCAUGGAACUACAAAAUCGUAUAUCGUUACCGGCUUUAUUGACCGCUCAAAUUUGUAAGGAGAAAUACAGGGACCUCCGCCGCCGCUUCAUGAAUAGCUAUAACAAUAGUUAUGAUGAAAAAAUCAUAGAACAGGAUGUAGAUGGAAAUGGAGAUGUAACGAUUCCUUGGAUUGAGGAGUUGAGAAAACUACGGGUUGCUGAGCUUCAACAAGAGGUUCAACGCUACGAUCUUUCGAUCCAGUCGUUGGAGUUGAAAGUGAAAAAAAUGGAGGAAGAGAGAGAACAGAGUUUGAAGGCGCAGAGUUUAGACGAUGGCCAGAAACCAGAUCUGGAGGAUGUAAAGGAAGAGAGAUCGCAAAACGACAAAAACAGCGGUGCUGAUGUUAAGCCGGAGGAUUCCACCGGGAAGCCCGUGUCCAGCGAGGAGUCAGACCGCGAAAACCGGUCAUUUAACGAGUCUAAUUCGACGGAGAACAGAGAAACCGGUGUUAAAAAUGAACCGGAACCGGUCGAGAUCGGUGAAGACAAACCGGUUCAGGAGAUUAAACCGGUCAGUGAAGAGGACUCGUAUAACGAUAGCAGUUCAGAUAGACAGGAGGAAAAGAAAGCCCGUCGGGACUCGGGCGAUUUACGUGAUACAGUGAGCGGGUCUAAGGAAGAGACUAGGGAAAACAGUGACGUGCAGAGCACGGCAACUUUAACGAAGAGAAAACGGCAGCGCGGUGGCGAUGGUGGUAGAAGCGGCGGAGAUGCGGCAGAAAUGGGUUCUCCAGCCGUUGGAAUUAAAAGGGAGGGUGCGGCGAAAUCAGAGCCGUUAAUUGAGUUUUUAGAUGUUAUCAGGUCGCAUAAGCGCGGCUCUGUAUUCAAGCGCCGGCUAGACAGCCAGAAAACGGACAAGUACAAGAGUAUGAUCCGACAACAUAUGGAUCUUGAAACGGUUCAAGCCCGGAUUGACGACGGAUCCUAUUGCUCUUGCCCAUCCAAAUUCUACUUGGACCUCCUACUCAUCUUCAACAAUGCCAUCGUCUACUUCGCUAAGUCAUCCUCAGAGACAACUGCAGCGAACGAACUCCGUGGCAUUGUAAUGGAAGAAUUAAAAAGGGCCAGAACCCAGUCGAAGGAUCUAUCACCAUUUAAGAUCCAACCCAAGCCCGAAUUGGAGAGAUCCGAUUCCUUGCUUGCAAAACACAAGUCUACCGUUCCUAUAGUAGUCUGUCGCAAGAGAAGCUCCAUUUCAGCAAAAGCAGCAGCUUCUUCUGGUACUAACAAGACAGAAAAACCAGCUGAUAGUAAACCUCCUCUGAACCCAAAGCCACCUGCGGUAAAAUCUUCUUCGAAUGAAGAAGAGAGUUCAAUCAAGCUUGGGGUGAAAGAAAAGCCAGUGACUGGAGUAAGAAGUAUGAGGAGAAGCAGCAAAGGACGUUCGAAUAAUAAUAAUGCUUCACAAUCCAACAGCAACCAAAACACGAAUGCUAAGCAAAGCAAUAGUAGCGGGGAGAAAAAGGAAGAGGUGAAACCGGAGAAGAAGAAAGAAGAAGGCAAAAAACGAGGAGCUGCAGCGGACUUCUUGAAGAGGAUAAAGAAGAAUUCUCCUACGAAAGGAACGUUGGUGGAAGCGCUGAAGAAUAAUCCUCCAGAGGAGGUUGUUGUUGUUAAAGGUAAAAAUAGUAAAGAUCAGCAAAAGAAAAAAGUUGAUGAACGGAGAGAAGCUCCAGUGAGGCGAAGUGGCGGCGGUGGCGGAGGCAGUGGUGCUAGCAAGGAUGAAGGUAGUCCGUCGAAGAGGAGCGUAGGUCGACCACCGAAGAGAGGUGGUAGAGAAGUAGUUGUGCAGGAAAAACGUGGAAGGGAAAAUAGUGAAAAAGAUGAUUCAACGAAACGGCCAAAGAAACGGUCAAGGAGGUAAAAUUAUGAUGAAUUUAGGAGGAAUUUAGUCUCAUUUUGCAGUGUAUAUUUUUACAUCUUGUAUUUUUAGUGUCAGGUUUUGAUUUUGGGAAUAUUACAUGUUAG